GAUGAACGCUGGCGGCGUGCCUAAUACAUGCAAGUCGAGCGAACAGACGAGGAGCUUGCUCCUCUGACGUUAGCGGCGGACGGGUGAGUAACACGUGGAUAACCUACCUAUAAUACUGGGAUAACUUCGGGAAACCGGAGCUAAUACCGGAUAAUAUAUUGAACCGCAUGGUUCAAUAGUGAAAGACGGUUUUGCUGUCACUUCUAGAUGGAUCCGCGCCGCAUUAGCUAGUUGGUAAGGUAACGGCCUACCAAGGCAACGAGGCGUGGCCGACGGCAGAGGCUGGUCGGCCGCAUUGGAGCUUGGACACGGUCCAUGCUCCUACGGGAGGCAGCAGUAGGCAACGUUCCGCAGUGGUCGAAAGCCUGGCGGAGCGGCGCCACGUGAGUUAUGACGGUCUUCGGAUCGUAAUACUCUCUUAUUAGUUAAGAACAACUGUGUAAGGAACUGUGCACGUCUUGACGGUACCUAAUCAGAAAGCCCCGGCUAACUACGUG
Molecule: ribosomal RNA, 497 nt
Filed under: uncultured bacterium
Lineage: Bacteria
Description: partial 16S ribosomal RNA
Rfam family: Bacterial small subunit ribosomal RNA
Source: RNAcentral